This 847-nucleotide ribosomal RNA is filed under the name Sunxiuqinia sp. Its description in RNAcentral is "bacterial SSU rRNA". It matches the Rfam family "Bacterial small subunit ribosomal RNA", at positions 69 to 916 of the family's 1533-position model. Lineage: Bacteria; Pseudomonadati; Bacteroidota; Bacteroidia; Marinilabiliales; Prolixibacteraceae. The record is from RNAcentral.
GUAACAUUGUCUUCGGACAGAUGACGACCGGCGCACGGGUGAGUAACGCGUAUGCAACCUGCCUUUGACAGAGGAAUAGCCCGGAGAAAUCCGGAUUAAUACCUCAUGGUAUUUAAGACUCGCAUGGGUUUUAAAUUAAAGAUUUAUCGGUCAAAGAUGGGCAUGCGUGACAUUAGCUAGUUGGUAAGGUAACGGCUUACCAAGGCUACGAUGUCUAGGGGUUCUGAGAGGAUGAUCCCCCACACUGGUACUGAGACACGGACCAGACUCCUACGGGAGGCAGCAGUGAGGAAUAUUGGUCAAUGGGCGCAAGCCUGAACCAGCCAUCCCGCGUGAAGGAAGACGGCCCUAUGGGUUGUAAACUUCUUUUCUGCACCAAGAAUGGACAUUACGUGUAGUGUUUUGACGGUAGUGCAGGAAUAAGCAUCGGCUAACUCCGUGCCAGCAGCCGCGGUAAUACGGAGGAUGCAAGCGUUAUCCGGAUUUAUUGGGUUUAAAGGGUACGUAGGUGGCCUUGUAAGUCAGUGGUGAAAUCCUGCCGCUUAACGGUAGAACUGCCAUUGAUACUGCAGGGCUUGAGUACAGUUGAGGUAGGCGGAAUGUGUAGUGUAGCGGUGAAAUGCUUAGAUAUUACACAGAACCCCGAUUGCGAAGGCAGCUUACUAAACUGUAACUGACACUGAGGUACGAAAGCGUGGGGAGCGAACAGGAUUAGAUACCCUGGUAGUCCACGCCGUAAACGAUGCUCACUCGCUGUAUGCGAUACACAGUAUGCGGCCAAGCGAAAGUCUUAAGUGAGCCACCUGGGGAGUACGUUGGCAACAGUGAAACUCAAAGGAAUUGACGG